AGAGUUUGAUCCUGGCUCAGAUUGAACGCUGGCGGCAGGCCUAACACAUGCAAGUCGAACGGUAACAUUUCUAGCUUGCUAGAAGAUGACGAGUGGCGGACGGGUGAGUAAUGCUUGGGAACUUGCCUUUGCGAGGGGGAUAACAGUUGGAAACGACUGCUAAUACCGCAUAACGUCUACGGACCAAACGGGGCUUAGGCUCCGGCGCAAAGAGAGGCCCAAGUGAGAUUAGCUAGUUGGUAAGGUAAUGGCUUACCAAGGCAACGAUCUCUAGCUGUUCUGAGAGGAAGAUCAGCCACACUGGAACUGAGACACGGUCCAGACUCCUACGGGAGGCAGCAGUGGGGAAUAUUGCACAAUGGGGGAAACCCUGAUGCAGCCAUGCCGCGUGUGUGAAGAAGGCCUUCGGGUUGUAAAGCACUUUCAGUUGUGAGGAAAAGUUAGUAGUUAAUACCUGCUAGCCGUGACGUUAACAAUAGAAGAAGCACCGGCUAACUCCGUGCCAGCAGCCGCGGUAAUACGGAGGGUGCGAGCGUUAAUCGGAAUUACUGGGCGUAAAGCGCACGCAGGCGGUUUGUUAAGCUAGAUGUGAAAGCCCCGGGCUCAACCUGGGAUAGUCAUUUAGAACUGGCAGACUAGAGUCUUGGAGAGGGGAGUGGAAUUCC
Molecule: ribosomal RNA, 665 nt
Filed under: uncultured marine microorganism
Description: bacterial SSU rRNA
Rfam family: Bacterial small subunit ribosomal RNA
Source: RNAcentral